Molecule: transfer RNA, 69 nt
Filed under: Synagrops bellus (blackmouth bass)
Lineage: Eukaryota; Metazoa; Chordata; Actinopteri; Acropomatiformes; Acropomatidae
Also listed under: 1 other name
Description: tRNA-Glu
Rfam family: tRNA
About the family: Transfer RNA (tRNA) molecules are approximately 80 nucleotides in length. Their secondary structure includes four short double-helical elements and three loops (D, anti-codon, and T loops). Further hydrogen bonds mediate the characteristic L-shaped molecular structure. tRNAs have two regions of fundamental functional importance: the anti-codon, which is responsible for specific mRNA codon recognition, and the 3' end, to which the tRNAs corresponding amino acid is attached (by aminoacyl-tRNA synthetases). tRNAs cope with the degeneracy of the genetic code in two manners: having more than one tRNA (with a specific anti-codon) for a particular amino acid; and 'wobble' base-pairing, i.e. permitting non-standard base-pairing at the 3rd anti-codon position.
Source: RNAcentral
GUUCUUAUAGUUGAAGAACAACGGUGGCGUUUCGAGUCAUUGGUCUUGGUUAAAAUCCAGGUAGGAACU